GAAUUUUGGACAAUGGGCGAAAGCCUGAUCCAGCAAUGCCGCGUGCAGGAUGAAGGCCUUCGGGUUGUAAACUGCUUUUGUACGGAACGAAAAGGUUUGGGUUAAUACCCUGGAGCCAUGACGGUACCGUCAGAAUAAGCACCGGCCAACCACGUGCCAUCAGCCGCGGUGAUACGUAGGGUGCAAGCGUUAAUCGGAAUUACUGGGCGUAAAGCGUGAGGAGGCGGUUUUGUAAGACAGAGGUGAAGUCCCCAGGCUCAACCUGGGAACUGCCUUUGUGAAUGCAAGGCUAGAGUACGGCAGAGGGGGGUGGAAUGCCGCGUAUAGCAGUGAAAUGCGUAGAUAUGCGGAGGAACACCGAUGGCGAAGGCAACCCCCUGGGCCUGUACUGACGCUCAUGCACGAAAGCGUGGGGAGCAAAC
Molecule: ribosomal RNA, 422 nt
Filed under: uncultured bacterium
Lineage: Bacteria
Description: partial 16S ribosomal RNA
Rfam family: Bacterial small subunit ribosomal RNA
Source: RNAcentral